RNAcentral lists this ribosomal RNA (253 nucleotides) under uncultured bacterium. Its description in RNAcentral is "partial 16S ribosomal RNA". It matches the Rfam family "Bacterial small subunit ribosomal RNA", at positions 524 to 776 of the family's 1533-position model. The record is from RNAcentral.
UACAGAGGUCCCAAGCGUUGUUCGGAUUCACUGGGCGUAAAGGGUGCGUAGGGGGUGAGGUAAGUCGGAUGUGAAAGCUCGGAGCUCAACUCCGAAAUGGCAUUGGAAACUACCUCGCUAGAGGAUCGGAGGGGAGACUGGAAUUCUCGGUGUAGCAGUGAAAUGCGUAGAUAUCGAGAGGAACACCAGUGGCGAAGGCGAGUCUCUGGACGAUUCCUGACGCUGAGGCACGAAAGCCAGGGGAGCAAACGGG